This is a long non-coding RNA of Hyla sarda, 404 nucleotides long. RefSeq lists it as uncharacterized. The transcript has 2 exons. The record is from RefSeq and is a predicted model, not a curated record. NCBI's taxonomy places the organism in Eukaryota, Metazoa, Chordata, Amphibia, Anura, Hylidae.
GCCGCACUGACUGCUGGAAAUUGUAGUCUGGCCAGCAAGCAAGGAAAACAAAUAUUUAGCAGACAACAGGGGCCACAGGAGCUGGCAAAAUCACAUGAAUAACUACAGGAGACACAGAACAGGCUCUUUGGAAAAAGAAUGCAGGUUAACUCUGUUCCAUAUUUGUCAUCUCUAAAAGGAAGAGUCACCAACCUGUAGACAGCUCUUACGAAGCAGGGUACUGGUUGCCUAGAGAGAUGCCCUAGACAAAGAAGUUUCUGCUGCCAAGCUUUAACCUAAUCUGCACUGAUGAGGAUCAAGAACCCUAAAAAAAAAAAAGCUGUCUACAGAUUUGUAAAUAUCAAGGAACAUUUUUAUGGAAGCAUACAAUUCAUAUUGUUUUAAUAAAAGAAAACUUAAAUCUA